UGCAUAUCAAUAAGCGGAGGAAAAGAAACCAACAGGGAUUGCCCCAGUAACGGCGAGUGAAGCGGCAACAGCUCAAAUUUGAAAUCUGGCCCCUAGGGCCCGAGUUGUAAUUUGCAGAGGAUGCUUUUGGCGAGGUGCCUUCCGAGUUCCCUGGAACGGGACGCCAUAGAGGGUGAGAGCCCCGUCUGGUUGGAUGCCGAGCCUCUGUAAAGCUCCUUCGACGAGUCGAGUAGUUUGGGAAUGCUGCUCUAAAUGGGAGGUAUAUGUCUUCUAAAGCUAAAUACCGGCCAGAGACCGAUAGCGCACAAGUAGAGUGAUCGAAAGAUGAAAAGCACUUUGAAAAGAGGGUUAAAUAGUACGUGAAAUUGUUGAAAGGGAAGCACUUAUGACCAGACUUGGACCCGGUGAAUCAUCCAGCGUUCUCGCUGGUGCACUUUGCCGGGCUCAGGCCAGCAUCAGUUUGCCUCGGGGGAUAAAGGCUUUGGGAAUGUGGCUCCCUCGGGAGUGUUAUAGCCCAUUGCACAAUACCCUGGGGCGGACUGAGGUUCGCGCAUCUGCAAGGAUGCUGGCGUAAUGGUCAUCAGUGACCCGUCUUGAAACACGGACCA
Molecule: ribosomal RNA, 608 nt
Filed under: Pochonia chlamydosporia
Lineage: Eukaryota; Fungi; Ascomycota; Sordariomycetes; Hypocreales; Clavicipitaceae
Description: eukaryotic LSU rRNA
Rfam family: Eukaryotic large subunit ribosomal RNA
Source: RNAcentral